RNAcentral lists this ribosomal RNA (247 nucleotides) under uncultured bacterium. Its description in RNAcentral is "partial 16S ribosomal RNA". It matches the Rfam family "Bacterial small subunit ribosomal RNA", at positions 523 to 769 of the family's 1533-position model. The record is from RNAcentral.
ACACGUAAGGGGCGAGCGUUGUUCGGAAUUAUUGGGCGUAAAGGGCGCGUAGGCGGUUCUGCAAGCCCGGCGUGAAAAUCUGGAGCUUAACUCCGGAACUGCGUUGGGAACUGCGGGACUAGAGUCAUAGAAGGGGAGUUGGAAUUCCAGGUGUAGGGGUGAAAUCUGUAGAUAUCGGGAGGAAGGCCGGUGGCGAAGGCGCCCUUCUGGACGGCAACUGACGCUGAGACGCGAAAGCGUGGGGAGC